This 253-nucleotide ribosomal RNA is filed under the name uncultured bacterium. RNAcentral's name for it is "partial 16S ribosomal RNA". It matches the Rfam family "Bacterial small subunit ribosomal RNA", at positions 524 to 776 of the family's 1533-position model. The record is from RNAcentral.
UACGUAGGGGGCAAGCGUUGUCCGGAUUUAUUGGGCGUAAAGAGCGUGUAGGCGGCUUUACAGGUCCGUUGUGAAAACUCGAGGCUCAACCUCGAGACGCCGGUGGAAACCGUAAGGCUAGAGUCCGGAAGAGGAGAGUGGAAUUCCUGGUGUAGCGGUGAAAUGCGCAGAUAUCAGGAAGAACACCCGUGGCGAAGGCGGCAUCCUGGACCAAUUCUGACGCUGAGGAGCGAAAGCCAUGGGAGCAAACGGG